GGGCCCGUUGCUGCACGAGUUAGGACUCACAUUAACAAUUUGGAGAAAAAGGUGAAAGUGGCGAGCAAAAAGGCUUCAGAUUGGAAGAGGAAGCUUUUUAAGAUUAGGAAGGUAUUCGAGGAGGCUUUAACAGAAGUCGAGCAUCUUCGGUCGACUAUUUGGCCGAAGACAAAAGUACAUACCGAGGAAAGAAACAGGCUGAUUGAAGAGUGCAAAAG
RNAcentral lists this long non-coding RNA (218 nucleotides) under Elaeis guineensis (African oil palm). Its description in RNAcentral is "long non-coding RNA (EGUI_LNC026784)". Lineage: Eukaryota; Viridiplantae; Streptophyta; Magnoliopsida; Arecales; Arecaceae. The record is from RNAcentral.